This 218-nucleotide ribosomal RNA is filed under the name uncultured bacterium. RNAcentral describes it as "partial 16S ribosomal RNA". It matches the Rfam family "Bacterial small subunit ribosomal RNA", at positions 328 to 539 of the family's 1533-position model. The record is from RNAcentral.
ACGCUCGACACCUACGGGAGGCAGCAGUGAGGAAUAUUGGUCAAUGGACGCAAGUCUGAACCAGCCAUGCCGCGUGCAGGAUGACGGCUCUAUGAGUUGUAAACUGCUUUUGUACGAGGGUAAACGCAGAUACGUGUAUCUGUCUGAAAGUAUCGUACGAAUAAGGAUCGGCUAACUCCGUGCAAGCAGCCGCGGUAAUCUGAGCGGGCUGGCAAGGC